CUUGGAAGUCAAGGAGUCUCCAGAAACUGCCAGGCAGCCCACUGAGCUUCUGUGGAAUUUUUAGUUGUCCUUUUUAUGGACAAAACCAGCAACUUCCCUGGAGGUCCAGUGGUUAAGACUCUGCACUUCCACUGCUGGGUCCAGGGUUUGAUCUCUAGUCCGGGAACCAAGAUCCCAGACGUGCCUCGUGGCGAAGCCAAAAAAAGUACAAAAUCCAGGCCUGGAUCAGGAGAUGCCCCUGGGAUUCACUGGUGUUAGCAAGAUCUCCACCCGUAAGUUACCACCCCGCUGAGACUCUGCAGUAAAGCCCUCUCCUGGAGAACAUGAGAGAUGUCUGGGGCCAGCGACCCAGGCUUCAGUCCCAGCUCACAAGGAAGCAUCCUCCUGACCAGGCCCAUCUGUGAAAGACUGAAGGCAGGAAGAAGUUCCUCCAGGAGUCUGGCCAGAACCAGGACUUGACUCCCUCCUUUUAGUGUUAAAAGAAGCCUGAAUUCUAACUCAAGGAAGAUGGUUCAUGAGGACACAAGUCCGCCAUCUUCUCAGGCUGCUGGCUUUCUGAAUAAAGCAUUAUUCCUUGCCC
Molecule: long non-coding RNA, 580 nt
Organism: Bos taurus (domestic cattle)
Lineage: Eukaryota; Metazoa; Chordata; Mammalia; Artiodactyla; Bovidae
Source: Ensembl